RNAcentral lists this ribosomal RNA (427 nucleotides) under uncultured bacterium. RNAcentral's name for it is "partial 16S ribosomal RNA". It matches the Rfam family "Bacterial small subunit ribosomal RNA", at positions 355 to 774 of the family's 1533-position model. The record is from RNAcentral.
UGGGGAAUAUUGGACAAUGGGCGAAAGCCUGAUCCAGCCAUGCCGCGUGUGUGAAGAAGGUCUUCGGAUUGUAAAGCACUUUAAGUUGGGAGGAAGGGGUGUAGAUUAAUACUCUGCAAUUUUGACGUUACCGACAGAAUAAGCACCGGCUAACUCUGUGCCAGCAGCCGCGGUAAUACAGAGGGUGCAAGCGUUCAUCGGAAUUACUGGGCGUAAAGCGCGCGUAGGUGGUUAGUUAAGUUGGAUGUGAAAUCCCCGGGCUCAACCUGGGAACUGCAUUCAAAACUGACUGACUAGAGUAUGGUAGAGGGUGGUGGAAUUUCCUGUGUAGCGGUGAAAUGCGUAGAUAUAGGAAGGAACACCAGUGGCGAAGGCGACCACCUGGACUGAUACUGACACUGAGGUGCGAAAGCGUGGGGAGCAAACA